GACGAACGCUGGCGGCGUGCCUAAUACAUGCAAGUAGAACGCUGAAGGAGGAGCUUGCUUCUCUGGAUGAGUUGCGAACGGGUGAGUAACGCGUAGGUAACCUGCCUGGUAGCGGGGGAUAACUAUUGGAAACGAUAGCUAAUACCGCAUAAUAGUAGAUGUUGCAUGACAUUUACUUAAAAGGUGCAAUUGCAUCACUACCAGAUGGACCUGCGUUGUAUUAGCUAGUUGGUGGGGUAACGGCUCACCAAGGCGACGAUACAUAGCCGACCUGAGAGGGUGAUCGGCCACAAUGGGACCGGGACAAGGCCCAGACUCCUACGGGAGGCAGCAGUAGGGGAUCUUCGGCAAUGGACGAAAGGCUGACCGAGCAACGCCGCGUGAGUGAAGAAGGUUUUCGGAUCGUAAAGCUCUGUUGUAAGAGAAGAACGAGUGUGAGAGUGGAAAGUUCACACUGUGACGGUAUCUUACCAGAAAGGGACGGCUAACUACGUG
This 495-nucleotide ribosomal RNA is filed under the name uncultured bacterium. RNAcentral describes it as "partial 16S ribosomal RNA". It matches the Rfam family "Bacterial small subunit ribosomal RNA", at positions 28 to 507 of the family's 1533-position model. The record is from RNAcentral.